This 459-nucleotide ribosomal RNA is filed under the name uncultured bacterium. Its description in RNAcentral is "partial 16S ribosomal RNA". It matches the Rfam family "Bacterial small subunit ribosomal RNA", at positions 338 to 795 of the family's 1533-position model. The record is from RNAcentral.
CCUACGCUGGGCAGCAGUGAGGAAUAUUGGUCAAUGGUCGGGAGACUGAACCAGCCAAGCCGCGUGAGGGAGGAAGGCACAGAGUAUCGUAAACCUCUUUUGUCAGGGAACAAAGACUGGGACGCGUCCCCGGAUGAGUGUACCUGAAGAAAAAGCAUCGGCUAACUCCGUGCCAGCAGCCGCGGUAAUACGGGGGAUGCGAGCGUUAUCCGGAUUUAUUGGGUUUAAGGGGUGCGCAGGCGGUCUGUUAAGCCAGCGGUCAAAGCCCGGGGCUAAACCCCGCCCCGCCGUUGAAACUGGGGGCCUUGAGUGGGAGGGAAGUAUGCGGAAUGCGCGGUGUAGCGGUGAAAUGCAUAGAUAUCGCGCAGAACUCCGAUUGCGAAGGCAGCAUGCCGGCUCCACACUGACGCUGAGGCACGAAAGCGUGGGUAUCGAACAGGAUUAGAUACCCUUGUAGUC